RNAcentral lists this ribosomal RNA (420 nucleotides) under Buchnera aphidicola (Myzus persicae). RNAcentral describes it as "bacterial SSU rRNA". It matches the Rfam family "Bacterial small subunit ribosomal RNA", at positions 76 to 487 of the family's 1533-position model. Lineage: Bacteria; Pseudomonadati; Pseudomonadota; Gammaproteobacteria; Enterobacterales; Erwiniaceae. The record is from RNAcentral.
GAGCUUGCUCUCUUUGUCGGCAAGCGGCAAACGGGUGAGUAAUAUCUGGGGAUCUACCCAAAAGAGGGGGAUAACUACUAGAAAUGGUAGCUAAUACCGCAUAAUGUUGAAAAACUAAAGUGGGGGACCUUUUAGGCCUCAUGCUUUUGGAUGAACCCAGACGAGAUUAGCUUGUUGGUAAGGUAAUGGCUUACCAAGGCUACGAUCUCUAGCUGGUCUGAGAGGAUAACCAGCCACACUGGAACUGAGACACGGUCCAGACUCCUACGGGAGGCAGCAGUGGGGAAUAUUGCACAAUGGGCGAAAGCCUGAUGCAGCUAUGCCGCGUGUAUGAAGAAGGCCUUAGGGUUGUAAAGUACUUUCAGCAGGGAGGAAAGAAAUAAAACUAAUAAUUUUAUUUCGUGACGUUACCCGCAGAAG